GCUGGGCAUGGUGGCGCAUGCCUGUAAUCCCAGCUACUUGGGAGGCUAAGGCAGGGGGAUUGCUUGAACCCGGGAGGCAGAGGUUUCAGUGAGCCGAGAUUGCGCCACUGCACUCCAGCCUGGGUGACAGAGUGAGACCCUGUCUCAA
Molecule: signal recognition particle RNA, 148 nt
Filed under: Nomascus leucogenys (northern white-cheeked gibbon)
Lineage: Eukaryota; Metazoa; Chordata; Mammalia; Primates; Hylobatidae
Description: Metazoan signal recognition particle RNA
Rfam family: Metazoan signal recognition particle RNA
About the family: The signal recognition particle (SRP) is a universally conserved ribonucleoprotein. It is involved in the co-translational targeting of proteins to membranes.
Source: Rfam by way of RNAcentral